GGUGAACGCUGGCGGCGUGCCUAAUACAUGCAAGUCGAGCGAACAGACGAGGAGCUUGCUCCUCUGACGUUAGCGGCGGACGGGUGAGUAACACGUGGAUAACCUACCUAUAAGACUGGGAUAACUUCGGGAAACCGGAGCUAAUACCGGAUAAUAUAUUGAACCGCAUGGUUCAAUAGUGAAAGACGGUUUUGCUGUCACUUAUAGAUGGAUCCGCGCCGCAUUAGCUAGUUGGUAAGGUAACGGCUUACUAAGGCGACGAUGCGUAGCCGACCUGAGAGGGUGAUCGGCCACACUGGAACUGAGACACGGUCCAGACUCCUACGGGAGGCAGCAGUAGGGAAUCUUCCGCAAUGGGCGAAAGCCUGACGGAGCAACGCCGCGUGAGUGAUGAAGGUCCUCGGAUCGUAAAACUCUGUUAUUAGGGAAGAACAAAUGUGUAAGUAACUAUGCACGUCUUGACGGUACCUAAUCAGAAAGCCACGGCUAACUACGU
RNAcentral lists this ribosomal RNA (496 nucleotides) under uncultured bacterium. RNAcentral's name for it is "partial 16S ribosomal RNA". It matches the Rfam family "Bacterial small subunit ribosomal RNA", at positions 28 to 506 of the family's 1533-position model. The record is from RNAcentral.